Molecule: ribosomal RNA, 3114 nt
Filed under: Providencia rettgeri
Lineage: Bacteria; Pseudomonadati; Pseudomonadota; Gammaproteobacteria; Enterobacterales; Morganellaceae
Description: 23S ribosomal RNA
Rfam family: Bacterial large subunit ribosomal RNA
Source: RNAcentral
GGGUUGUGAGGUUAAGCGACUAAGCGUACACGGUGGAUGCCUAGGCAAUCAGAGGCGAUGAAGGACGUGCUAAUCUGCGAUAAGCGUCGGUAAGGUGAUAUGAACCGUUACAACCGACGAUUUCCGAAUGGGGAAACCCAGUGCAAUUCGUUGCACUAUCGUUUGAUGAAUAUAUAGUCAAACGAAGCGAACCGGGGGAACUGAAACAUCUCAGUACCCCGAGGAAAAGAAAUCAACCGAGAUUCCCCUAGUAGCGGCGAGCGAACGGGGAGCAGCCCAGAGUCUUAAUCAGCAUUAGCAUCAGGAGAACGGUCUGGAAAGUCCGGCAGUAAAGGGUGAUAGCCCCGUAUCCGAAGGUGUUAGUGUUGUGAACUCGACGAGUAGGGCGGGACACGUGUUAUCCUGUCUGAAUAUGGGGGGACCAUCCUCCAAGGCUAAAUACUCCUGAUUGACCGAUAGUGAACCAGUACCGUGAGGGAAAGGCGAAAAGAACCCCGGCGAGGGGAGUGAAAUAGAACCUGAAACCGUGUACGUACAAGCAGUGGGAGCCCCAUCACUCAAGUGCCUCGGCAAUUGAGUGAGGGUGUAAAACCAUCACAAUAACAGCGCAGGAUUUGCCAACAAGAUUGGCUGAUUUUUUCAAGCCGCAGCGCAGUGGACAUCGAAGUCCAUGAGCAGCGGAAGUUAAAAAAUCGGGCAAGAUUGGCCGCAAAGACAAGCGGGACAUUUGAGGAUGGGGUGACUGCGUACCUUUUGUAUAAUGGGUCAGCGACUUAUAUUCUGUAGCAAGGUUAACCGUAUAGGGGAGCCGUAGGGAAACCGAGUCUUAACUGGGCGAAUAAGUUGCAGGGUAUAGACCCGAAACCCGGUGAUCUAGCCAUGGGCAGGUUGAAGGUUGGGUAACACUAACUGGAGGACCGAACCGACUAAUGUUGAAAAAUUAGCGGAUGACUUGUGGCUGGGGGUGAAAGGCCAAUCAAACCGGGAGAUAGCUGGUUCUCCCCGAAAGCUAUUUAGGUAGCGCCUCGUGAACUCAUCUUCGGGGGUAGAGCACUGUUUCGACUAGGGGGUCAUCCCGACUUACCAACUCGAUGCAAACUACGAAUACCGAAGAAUGUUAUCACGGGAGACACACGGCGGGUGCUAACGUUCGUCGUGAAGAGGGAAACAACCCAGACCGCCAGCUAAGGUCCCAAAGUCAUAGUUAAGUGGGAAACGAAGUGGGAAGGCUCAGACAGCCAGGAUGUUGGCUUAGAAGCAGCCAUCAUUUAAAGAAAGCGUAAUAGCUCACUGGUCGAGUCGGCCUGCGCGGAAGAUGUAACGGGGCUAAACUAUGCACCGAAGCUGCGGCAGCGAUAUUUAGAUAUUGUUGGGUAGGGGAGCGUUCUGUAAGCCUGUGAAGGUGUACUGUGAGGUAUGCUGGAGGUAUCAGAAGUGCGAAUGCUGACAUAAGUAACGAUAAUGCGGGUGAAAAACCCGCACGCCGGAAGACCAAGGGUUCCUGUCCAACGUUAAUCGGGGCAGGGUGAGUCGACCCCUAAGGCGAGGCAGAAAUGCGUAGUCGAUGGGAAACGGGUUAAUAUUCCCGUACUGGUGAUAAUUGCGAUGGGGGGACGGAGAAGGCUAGGCUAUCCGGGCGACGGUUGUCCCGGUUUAAGAAUGUAGGCAGGUGAAUUAGGCAAAUCCGGUUCACUAUAUGCUGAGGUUCGAUGACGAGUCACUACGGUGAUGAAGUAGCUCAUGCCCCGCUUCCAGGAAAAGCCUCUAAGCUCUAGAUUAUCAUUAAUCGUACCCCAAACCGACACAGGUGGUCAGGUAGAGAAUACUCAGGCGCUUGAGAGAACUCGGGUGAAGGAACUAGGCAAAAUGGUGCCGUAACUUCGGGAGAAGGCACGCUGGCGCUAGGUGAAAUCCCUCGCGGAUGGAGCUGAAGCCAGUCGCAGAUACCAGCUGGCUGCAACUGUUUAUUAAAAACACAGCACUGUGCAAACACGAAAGUGGACGUAUACGGUGUGACGCCUGCCCGGUGCUGGAAGGUUAAUUGAUGGGGUUAUCCGUAAGGAGAAGCUCUUGAUCGAAGCCCCAGUAAACGGCGGCCGUAACUAUAACGGUCCUAAGGUAGCGAAAUUCCUUGUCGGGUAAGUUCCGACCUGCACGAAUGGCGUAAUGAUGGCCAGGCUGUCUCCACCCGAGACUCAGUGAAAUUGAACUCGCUGUGAAGAUGCAGUGUACCCGCGGCAAGACGGAAAGACCCCGUGAACCUUUACUAUAGCUUGACACUGAACAUUGAGCCUUGAUGUGUAGGAUAGGUGGGAGGCUUCGAAGCGUGGACGCCAGUCUGCGUGGAGCCAACCUUGAAAUACCACCCUUUAAUGUUUGAUGUUCUAACGUUGCCCCAUUAUCUGGGGUGCGGACAGUGUCUGGUGGGUAGUUUGACUGGGGCGGUCUCCUCCCAAAGAGUAACGGAGGAGCACGAAGGUUGGCUAAGCAUGGUCGGACAUCAUGCGGUUAGUGCAAAGGCAUAAGCCAGCUUGACUGCGAGAGUGACGGCUCGAGCAGGUACGAAAGUAGGUCUUAGUGAUCCGGUGGUUCUGAAUGGAAGGGCCAUCGCUCAACGGAUAAAAGGUACUCCGGGGAUAACAGGCUGAUACCGCCCAAGAGUUCAUAUCGACGGCGGUGUUUGGCACCUCGAUGUCGGCUCAUCACAUCCUGGGGCUGAAGUAGGUCCCAAGGGUACGGCUGUUCGCCGUUUAAAGUGGUACGCGAGCUGGGUUUAGAACGUCGUGAGACAGUUCGGUCCCUAUCUGCCGUGGGCGUUGGAAGAUUGAAAGGGGCUGCUCCUAGUACGAGAGGACCGGAGUGGACGCACCACUGGUGUUCGGGUUGUCAUGCCAAUGGCAUUGCCCGGUAGCUAAGUGCGGAAGAGAUAACCGCUGAAAGCAUCUAAGCGGGAAACUUGCCUUGAGAUGAGUCUUCCCUGACCCUUUAAGGGUCCUAAAGGAACGUUUAAGACUAAGACGUUGAUAGGUUGGGUGUGUAAGCAUAGCGAUAUGUUGAGCUAACCAAUACUAAUGAACCGUGAGGCUUAACCUGACAACACCGAAGGUGUUUUAG